GGGCUAUUAGCUCAGUGGUAGAGCGCGCCCCUGAUAGAGGUCUCUGGUUCAAGUCCAGGAUGGCCCA
Molecule: transfer RNA, 67 nt
Filed under: Amana kuocangshanica
Lineage: Eukaryota; Viridiplantae; Streptophyta; Magnoliopsida; Liliales; Liliaceae
Description: tRNA-Ile
Rfam family: tRNA
About the family: Transfer RNA (tRNA) molecules are approximately 80 nucleotides in length. Their secondary structure includes four short double-helical elements and three loops (D, anti-codon, and T loops).
Source: RNAcentral